This 2890-nucleotide ribosomal RNA is filed under the name Acinetobacter baumannii. Its description in RNAcentral is "23S ribosomal RNA". It matches the Rfam family "Bacterial large subunit ribosomal RNA". The record is from RNAcentral. Lineage: Bacteria; Pseudomonadati; Pseudomonadota; Gammaproteobacteria; Moraxellales; Moraxellaceae.
AGUCAAGUAAUUAAGUGCAUGUGGUGGAUGCCUUGGCAGUCAGAGGCGAUGAAAGACGUGAUAGCCUGCGAAAAGCUCCGGGGAGGCGGCAAAUAUCCUUUGAUCCGGAGAUGUCUGAAUGGGGGAACCCACCUACUUUAAGGUAGGUAUUGCAACAUGAAUACAUAGUGUUGCAAGGCGAACGAGGGGAAGUGAAACAUCUCAGUACCCUUAGGAAAAGAAAUCAAUUGAGAUUCCCUCAGUAGCGGCGAGCGAACGGGGAUCAGCCCAUUAAGUUAUGUGUGUUUUAGUGGAACGCUCUGGGAAGUGCGAACGUAGAGGGUGAUAUUCCCGUACACGAAAGGGCACACAUAAUGAUGACGAGUAGGGCGAGGCACGUGAAACCUUGUCUGAAUAUGGGGGGACCAUCCUCCAAGGCUAAAUACUCCUGACUGACCGAUAGUGAACCAGUACCGUGAGGGAAAGGCGAAAAGAACCCCUGUGAGGGGAGUGAAAUAGAUCCUGAAACCGCAUGCAUACAAGCAGUGGGAGCACCUUCGUGGUGUGACUGCGUACCUUUUGUAUAAUGGGUCAGCGACUUAUAUUCAGUAGCGAGGUUAACCGUAUAGGGGAGCCGUAGAGAAAUCGAGUCUUAAUAGGGCGUUUAGUUGCUGGGUAUAGACCCGAAACCAGGCGAUCUAUCCAUGAGCAGGUUGAAGGUUGGGUAACACUAACUGGAGGACCGAACCCACUGUCGUUGAAAAGCCAGGGGAUGACUUGUGGAUAGGGGUGAAAGGCUAAUCAAGCCUGGUGAUAGCUGGUUCUCCCCGAAAGCUAUUUAGGUAGCGCCUCGGACGAAUACCAUAGGGGGUAGAGCACUGUUUCGGCUAGGGGGUCAUCCCGACUUACCAAACCGAUGCAAACUCCGAAUACCUAUGAGUACUAUCCGGGAGACAGACUGCGGGUGCUAACGUCCGUAGUCAAGAGGAAAACAAUCCAGACCGCCAGCUAAGGCCCCAAAAUCAUAGUUAAGUGGGAAACGAUGUGGGAAGGCAUAGACAGCUAGGAGGUUGGCUUAGAAGCAGCCACCCUUUAAAGAAAGCGUAAUAGCUCACUAGUCGAGUCGGCCUGCGCGGAAGAUGUAACGGGGCUAAAACUAUGUGCCGAAGCUGCGGAUUUGACAUUGUAAGUGGUAGGGGAGCGUUCUGUAAGCCGAUGAAGGUGUAUUGAGAAGCAUGCUGGAGGUAUCAGAAGUGCGAAUGCUGACGUGAGUAACGACAAAACGGGUGAAAAACCCGUUCGCCGAAAGACCAAGGGUUCCAGUCCAACGUUAAUCGGGGCUGGGUGAGUCGACCCCUAAGGCGAGGCCGAAAGGCGUAGUCGAUGGGAAAAUGGUUAAUAUUCCAUUACUUCUGUGUAAUGCGAUGAGAGGACGGAGAAGGCUAAAUCAGCCUGGCGUUGGUUGUCCAGGUGAAAGGAUGUAGGCAUGUAUCUUAGGCAAAUCCGGGGUACUCUAUGCUGAGAUCUGAUAGCAAGCUGUACUUGUACAGCGAAGUGGUUGAUGCCAUGCUUCCAGGAAAAGUCUCUAAGCUUCAGUUACACAGGAAUCGUACCCGAAACCGACACAGGUGGUCAGGUCGAGUAGACCAAGGCGCUUGAGAGAACUCUGCUGAAGGAACUAGGCAAAAUGGUACCGUAACUUCGGGAGAAGGUACGCUGUUGUUGGUGAUGGAACUCGCUUCCUGAGCUGACGACAGCCGCAGAAACCAGGCCGCUGCAACUGUUUAUUAAAAACAUAGCACUCUGCAAACACGAAAGUGGACGUAUAGGGUGUGAUGCCUGCCCGGUGCUGGAAGGUUAAUUGAUGGGGUUAGCGUAAGCGAAGCUCUUGAUCGAAGCCCCAGUAAACGGCGGCCGUAACUAUAACGGUCCUAAGGUAGCGAAAUUCCUUGUCGGGUAAGUUCCGACCUGCACGAAUGGCAUAAUGAUGGCGGCGCUGUCUCCAGCAGAGGCUCAGUGAAAUCGAAAUCGCUGUGAAGAUGCAGUGUACCCGCGGCUAGACGGAAAGACCCCGUGAACCUUUACUGCAGCUUGACACUGAACUUUGACCUUACUUGUGUAGGAUAGGUGGGAGGCUUUGAAGCUGGAACGCUAGUUCCAGUGGAGCCGUCCUUGAAAUACCACCCUGGUAAUGUUGAGGUUCUAACUCUGUCCCGUGAUCCGGGACGAGGACCGUGUCUGGUGGGUAGUUUGACUGGGGCGGUCUCCUCCUAAAGAGUAACGGAGGAGUACGAAGGUGCGCUCAGCGUGGUCGGAAAUCACGCGUAGAGUAUAAAGGCAAAAGCGCGCUUAACUGCGAGACCCACAAGUCGAGCAGGUACGAAAGUAGGUCUUAGUGAUCCGGUGGUUCUGUAUGGAAGGGCCAUCGCUCAACGGAUAAAAGGUACUCUGGGGAUAACAGGCUGAUACCGCCCAAGAGUUCAUAUCGACGGCGGUGUUUGGCACCUCGAUGUCGGCUCAUCUCAUCCUGGGGCUGAAGCAGGUCCCAAGGGUAUGGCUGUUCGCCAUUUAAAGAGGUACGCGAGCUGGGUUUAGAACGUCGUGAGACAGUUCGGUCCCUAUCUACCGUGGGCGCUGGAAAUUUGAGAGGAUCUGCUCCUAGUACGAGAGGACCAGAGUGGACGAACCUCUGGUGUACCGGUUGUGACGCCAGUCGCAUCGCCGGGUAGCUAUGUUCGGAAGGGAUAACCGCUGAAAGCAUCUAAGCGGGAAGCCUACCUCAAGAUAAGAUUUCCCUAGGACUUUAUGUCCUCUAAAGAGCCGUUCGAGACUAGGACGUUGAUAGGUUGGAUGUGGAAGCAUAGUGAUAUGUGAAGCUGACCAAUACUAAUUGCUCGUGAGGCUUGACUAU